Molecule: transfer RNA, 69 nt
Filed under: Athous haemorrhoidalis
Lineage: Eukaryota; Metazoa; Arthropoda; Insecta; Coleoptera; Elateridae
Description: tRNA-Tyr
Source: RNAcentral
AGUAUGAUGGCCGAGGUACACAGGCGUUAAGUUGUAAACUUAAUUACGAAAUAAAUAUUUCUCUUACUA